UACGUAGGGGGCAAGCGUUAUCCGGGUUUACUGGGUGUAAAGGGAGCGCAGACGGCAGUGCAAGUCUGGAGUGAAAGCCCGGGGCCCAACCCCGGAACUGCUCUGGAAACUGUGCGGCUAGAGUACUGGAGGGGCAGGCGGAAUUCCUAGUGUAGCGGUGAAAUGCGUAGAUAUUAGGAGGAACACCAGUGGCGAAGGCGGCCUGCUGGACAGUAACUGACGUUGAGGCUCGAAAGCGUGGGGAGCAAACAGG
This 253-nucleotide ribosomal RNA is filed under the name uncultured bacterium. RNAcentral describes it as "partial 16S ribosomal RNA". It matches the Rfam family "Bacterial small subunit ribosomal RNA", at positions 524 to 776 of the family's 1533-position model. The record is from RNAcentral.